This 1131-nucleotide unclassified non-coding RNA is filed under the name Bradyrhizobium sp. Soph313_CPI-0246. RNAcentral describes it as "partial contains 16S ribosomal RNA, 16S-23S ribosomal RNA intergenic spacer, and 23S ribosomal RNA". The stretch from base 896 to 1131 matches the Rfam family "Bacterial large subunit ribosomal RNA", at positions 1 to 229 of the family's 2925-position model. The record is from RNAcentral. Lineage: Bacteria; Pseudomonadati; Pseudomonadota; Alphaproteobacteria; Hyphomicrobiales; Nitrobacteraceae.
GCGCUAACCCGCAAGGGAAGGCAGCCGGCCACGGUAGGGUCAGCGACUGGGGUGAAGUCGUAACAAGGUAGCCGUAGGGGAACCUGCGGCUGGAUCACCUCCUUUCUAAGGAUGGUUCUUCAGAAGCUUGCUUCUAUCGAACCGUUUUAGAAACAUCAGUGGCCAACAGAUCGCCAGAUCGUUGAGCUGCAUUGGCGGGAUUUCGCCGUCUUCGUUUCUCUUUCUUCGCGGACGACACGCGCUGGGGCUGCAGGCUUGCAGAUCCCUGGUCCUUGACUGGAUAUGCGUUAGGGGCUUGUAGCUCAGUUGGUUAGAGCGCGCGCUUGAUAAGCGUGAGGUCGGAAGUUCAAGUCUUCCCAGGCCCACCACUUUCAUCGAGUGUGCAUUCGUCUUCUGGUUACGGGGCCAUAGCUCAGCUGGGAGAGCGCGUGCUUUGCAAGCAUGAGGUCGUCGGUUCGAUCCCGUCUGGCUCCACCAGAUGGUUUGAUCACCGAGAUCUCGUACCGUCGUCCGCGAAACAUCACUUCGCACUUGCUAGUCCGGAUGGACAGCAGGCUGCGUGAUUUCUGACAUCGUAAAGAGGAGAUCGAUCCGAGUUGGAUCGUGCGGAGAAUAUCCGCGCGAGACUUCAUUAUCUCCGGAUCAUUUCGGCGCUCGCGCGCCUUUCAGUGUGGCUCACAAGGCUGCGCCUGAAGGACAUGCGAGUUGUGAAUGAUCCUUUUAGCGAACCUUGACCGCCUCGCUAUCGGAACGAUCUUACGAAGCAAGCUGGUCUUUCUAGUCAAUGUCCGGCUGUACGUAGCGUUCAUCGAGGGCGCGUGCCUUAGAGACUUCGGUCUCCUGGCAGUCGUACAGACAACAUUCUGCCGAGUGUGUGGACAUUGAUAAUGAGAGCAAUCAAGUGCCUUAAGGGUGUUCGGUGGAUGCCUUGGCGCUGAGAGGGCGUGAGGACGUGCUACGCUGCGAUAAGCCGUGGGGAGCUGCGAAGAAGCUUUGAUCCGCGGAUUUCCGAAUGGGGAAACCCACCUUCGAUAGCCGGAACUCCAAGACCUUAGGUUUUGGGGUUUGACCAGAAAUGAUCGGGACCAUGACCGCAAGGUUUUGGAUUUCCGGUUAUCAAGAGAAGGUAUG